Long non-coding RNA from Coregonus clupeaformis (lake whitefish), 4888 nucleotides. RefSeq lists it as uncharacterized. The transcript has 9 exons. Lineage: Eukaryota; Metazoa; Chordata; Actinopteri; Salmoniformes; Salmonidae. The record is from RefSeq and is a predicted model, not a curated record.
AAAUUGGAAAAGAAAUUCACCCACGGUCAGUGGUGUGAAGUAACUAAGUAAAAAUAUAUUUGAAGUACUACUUAAGUAUUUGGGGGGUGUAUCUGGGCCCGGUUGCAUAAAACACCUUAAGUUAAUUUUCCCCUUAUCUUUUCCCUUAAAGUUUCCUUAACAUUAAGUCAGUUGCACAAAACAUUUAAAGGUGAAUUUCCCCCUUAAAUUAAGUGAAAAGGUUAAGGGUGCCCAUUAGGUCCCUUAACUGCUUAAUUCAGUAUGGAUAUCAAUGUAAACAUCAUUUGUGGAGGUGAAUGUUGCUUUCAUUUACUUUGGUUACAAAAGGAAACAUCAACCAGCUAGCUAGCUACUUAGCUAACCAAUGGAAGGUGCACAAUCUAUGGCUACAAAGCUAGCUGGCUAGUUAGCUAUAGCUACUCUGUAAGCUAGCUAAAGUAACCACAAGAAAUGUGGUUUAGUAUCUUCUGAAGCAAUUUGGUUAAAACUAUCCUCUGCAACGCCCUUAAACAACUGCCUUAGGUAAGGGAAAAUUAUUCCUUAAGGGAAACACUUAAGAUGUUUUAUGCAACCAGACCCUGUACUUUACCAUUUAUAUUUCUGACUACUUUUACUCCACUACAUUCCUAAAGAUAAGAUGUACUUUUUACUCCCAUACAAUUUCUCUGUCACCCAAAUGUAUUAGUUACAUUUCCAAUGCUUAGCAGGACAGAAAUUGUCCAAUUCACGUACUUAUCAAGAUAACACAUGGUCAUCCCUACUUCCUCUGAUCUGGUGGACUCCCUAAACACAAAUGCUUGUGUUGGAGUAUACCCCUCGCUAUCCAUAAAAUAAAAAAAACAUGUGCCAUCUGGUUUGCUUAAUGGUUUGCUUAAUAUAAAUAAUUUUAAAGGAUUUAUAGCUUUUACUUUUGCUACUUAUUUAUAUUUAAAACCAGACACUUUUAGACUUAUACCAGUGUUUCCUCUGCGUUCAUUUAAGUGUGGCGCUGCGCCAUGGAAGAAUCAUUGCAACCACACCAAAAGAAACAUCCUAUUUCUACCAAACAUAGUUUCAAUAAAGUUCUGUAAAGUACAUUAGCUUUUCUUGGUAAAUAGAUCAUCUGUCUGGGUUCAACACAGUUCAAGGUUAUUUAGCUCUGUGAGUUGUGGCAGGCAGCCUGCAACUCAAGAAACACAGUGCGCCAAUGACCAGUGCACAAGUGACCAGUGCUCGAUAGACUCUCUGCGGCACAAAACACAAUUCACUUGAAUCACCUCAGAGUGAACCUGCGUGAGAAACGGCACGCCAGGGACCAGUGCGCGAGUGACCAGUGCGCAAUACAGAAGCUCUGCAGCGCGAAACACAAUUCACUUGAAUAACCUCAGAGUGCACCUGUGUGAGAAACUGCAAGAAAGGUACGUUAGCUUGUUUGUUUGACUAACAUUAGCUAGCCAACUAGUUAACUACAUAAGCUAGCUAUAACCUAAAAACUACUAACAUAAUUUAUAUCUAUUAUAUUGCUGCCACAAUUGUAACGGCAAUUAGCUAUCCAAUAUCCACAAGUAUGUUGAUGAUGGAAACAUGGUUAACUAAAGUUACUGAGGUAGGGAUGCAUGAGGGACAGAAUGGAGCAGAGGAGAGGAGAGAGCCAGGAGGGGAGAUGGAAGGAGAAAAGGAGAGAAGGAGAAGAAAGAGGAGUAGAUAAAAGGAGAGGAGGAGGAGAGAGGAGUAAGACCAAGUGCGCACCACCGGCAAUCCGGAUGGGACCUAAAGUGGCUUAAAAUUGACAGACUGAAACCAUGGCUAUAUAAUACGCCACAUGUUUAGUCAAAUUUCCUUAAUUAGGCUAAGGGCUAAAAAUGUUUGUGUAUAUUUAGUCUGUACUAGUCUACAGCAUUGUGUAGUGUUGUAAUGCUUGCUAUCUGUAAUAGGUAUUGCCCCAGCCACCAGUAAUUCCACUAAACAACACUCUACAUCCCGUCUAGGAAUGUUCUGCCGCCUGUGCCGUUAACAUAGGCAGGCUGCUAAGAGGGGUGUGUCAAAGCGGCCUUUUAUUGAAAUAGGGGCCCAGACUCAUCGGCUGGACUAUAUUAACCGGCACCCAGGGACAGAGCAACACAUGGAAAGUGUGAGGGUUCAUGCAAUGCUGGCAAAGGGCUCCUCAGUCAUGGUUGCAUUCGAGCCAGCCGCAGUGCUUGAGCACGAGGCCGCCAUUGGGGUUUUUAAAUGUCUGUACCAUCUAACAAAACGGGAGCAGGCCCACCACACAAACUUCCCAGAACUGCUGGACCUUGCUGAAUUGCUGGGUUGUUACAAAGCUCAAGAUACAUGGACCAAGAGGGACACCUUUUACAACCAGUUCCUGGACCUAGUGUCAGUCCUAGAUGGCAAGGGACAUCAUCGUUGCCGCCAUCAAGGAGGUGCUGCACAUCAAAAAGAGAUAAUAAGAGAGAUUGUACGGCCUGGGCACUGAUGGGGCUGUAGUGAUGACUGGACAACAUAGUGGUGUGGCAAAAGAGCUAAAGGAUGCCUUCCUAUGGAUGGUGUCUGUGGCAUGUGCAGCCCACCACCUUGCUCUGACCUGUAAAGAUGCAUCAGCUGAGGUCCCCUAUAUGGACACUUUCAAGGAGCUCCAUAGUUACUUUGCCAAAAGCAGUAACAAGACAGAAGUCUUGAAAGCUGCUUCAGCGACCCUGGGCCUUCUGUACUUAAAAGUGAAGGAAGUAAAGGAUGUUCGCUGGCUUUCCCAGCACCUGGCCGUGGCUAAUCUUCAGCGAAACCUGAGCGCAGUGUUGACUGAGGAGGUGGAGGUGAACCGGUGCCCAACUGCUAAGGGCCUCUACGCUUUCUGUGUCACGUACAGGUCCCUGUGACAAUGGCCUCACUCCUCGCCAUAAAAGAUUCUGGUGAUUCCCAGCCCCCGGGGUCAUUUCUGAGCCAACUCCACCAGGACCUCAAUGACCCAAUGGGUCUGGGCGCAUUCAACAUCAAGGAGAGGGAGAGGCCAGGUGGAGAAGACCAAGACCAGGGAGCAGUUCUGGGCUCAGUUCAGAGGAGGUCAUGGAUCCAUAUCUUGUUGGCCUCCAAGACAGCCUAGACCGGAGGUUCCAAUACCUGGAGAUUCUGGGGGCCUUCAGUGUGUUGGGACCUCAGGCUGCGUUCUCUAGUGAGAGGAUGAACACCUUUAACCUGACCAUCCUCUCCAGGCAGUUCUUGCAAGCGCCAGAGGCUGCUGUGCCGCAAGAGUGACCCUCUUACAAGCAACAUGUGCUAGUUGGAGUAUUCAAGUUUUUCAUGUAUUUCAGGGGUUGGACCAGCUGACGACAAUGACAAAGCUGGCCUCGCUGUUUGAUGAGUGGGGGCAGCUCUACCCCUGCCUUAGCCAGCAAUCGCACUGACUAUACCAGUGUCUUCCGUUAAUUGUGAGAGGGCCUUCUCUGCAAUGAAACGAGUAAAAACAGACUUGAGGAACAGACUGCAGGGAGAGCAUCUAGCCGCCUGCAUGCUGCUCUCCAUCAACGGCCCCCCCCAUCAAGGAGCUCAAUUGCAGGAGCAUGUUGGAAAUCUUUUUCCAAAAGCCCAGAAGAAUAAAGUGUUCUGACAAAGGCUGUAAACUAUGUCAGAACUAGGUUUUUGUCAGAACCUGGAAAGAGAUUUCCAACGCCCUCCUUUUGUGAUGAACAUGAAUUAGUGGGCUCUAAUUAAUGUUCAGUCAAAUGUUCCUCUGUUAAUUUUGUCAAGAUAGACCUCCUUUCUGAAAAAAAAAAAAAGUAUGUGUUGUUUCUUUAGAUAGCUGCAGCACUCAACCUUAAAUUGCAUCCUGUAUACUAUAAUACUUUUACCAAUAUGUUAUUGAGCUCAUUUCUGGGGGUGGAAAUUAUAUUCUAGAUGGUUUAUUUGAGUCCUUUUAAAAAGUCACCAGAACCAAGCUUUUCAGUACUUAUUCAUAUUUUGUAUUAAACCCCCCCACCCCCGCUAACUUUUCCCCCACAGCUAACACAUUUUCCAGAGGAAACACUGCUUUUACUCAAGUAAUAUUUUACUGGGUGACUUUCCCUUUUACUUGAGUCAUUUUCUAUUGAUGUAUCUUUACUUACUUACUUUUCCACCACUGCCCACGGUAUCAACACCCUCACCUGUCCCACAGUAUCAAAUGUCACAGCGAACAUGAGCCUAGAUUUUUUUGCACUAGAAAAAAACAUGGCAGUUCAGCAUGUCAAUCUGAGGAACUUGUCACCUCUCGUAAAAUGUCCUUAACCAUCGUUUCCAACUUGUAUUAAAAUAACCCAUGAUUUAUUUCUACCACCACAGUAGACAGACAUAACAUCAGCGUAAAUAGUUUGCAAUAAAACUAGCCUAGCAUGCUAACCCCGGUCAGGCAGGGGACGGUUCACCCAGAGAGAUGAGUCCUGUACAGUACUGGCUGCUUCUCCUCUUUCAUUCCCCCCUAAACUUAGUAGGACCGUAGGCUUCCAGGAAUCCCUGUCGCCCAGAUAUCAGUCUGCCUGCCUGCCUGCAGGGCCACUGGGCGGGGGUCCAAGCCUGGAGUCGACGGGUCCACAGACCACAGGGGAUUACCAUCUGUUAAUACUCUAUCUCCCCUGGCUAGACUGGAGUUAUAGGCACAGUAAAGUGCUCCAGAAGAUGGAAACAUUAUGACCCAUAUUUCAAAUAGAAACCACAGUGAAACCGGGCUAGGAUGUUUAUUUCGAAUGCAAUAUAGGUAAUAUUCUCCGAAGCAGGAAUUAUAUGACCAGUUGCAUAGUAAAGUGGUCCUCAGUAUGACAUGAUUAAGACCCAUUUGUUGAAUGGGUAAACAGUUGGCCUUGUUUCAAAAACAAUUUAACCUAUGUCUAUCAGGCAAUACAGUGCAUUCGGAAACUAUUCAGCCCCCUUGACUUUUUCC